AACGUAGGGGGCAAGCGUUGUCCGGAAUUACUGGGCGUAAAGGGCGUGUAGGUGGCUCGUGAAGUCAGGAGUGAAAACCCGGGGCUCAACUCCGGGACUGCUUUUGAAACCAGCGGGCUUGAGUGCAGGAGAGGGAAGUGGAAUUCCCAGUGUAGCGGUGAAAUGCGUAGAUAUUGGGAGGAACACCAGUGGCGAAAGCGGCUUCCUGGCCUGUAACUGACACUGAGGCGCGAAAGCGUGGGGAGCAAACAGG
This 253-nucleotide ribosomal RNA is filed under the name uncultured bacterium. Its description in RNAcentral is "partial 16S ribosomal RNA". It matches the Rfam family "Bacterial small subunit ribosomal RNA", at positions 524 to 776 of the family's 1533-position model. The record is from RNAcentral.